This 253-nucleotide ribosomal RNA is filed under the name uncultured bacterium. RNAcentral's name for it is "partial 16S ribosomal RNA". It matches the Rfam family "Bacterial small subunit ribosomal RNA", at positions 524 to 776 of the family's 1533-position model. The record is from RNAcentral.
UACGAAGGGGGCUAGCGUUGUUCGGAAUCACUGGGCGUAAAGCGCACGUAGGCGGAUUGUUAAGUCAGGGGUGAAAUGCCAAGGCUCAACCUUGGAACUGCCUUUGAUACUGGCAAUCUCGAGUCCGGGAGAGGUGAGUGGAACUGCGAGUGUAGAGGUGAAAUUCGUAGAUAUUCGCAAGAACACCGGUGGCGAAGGCGGCCAACUGGACCAUUACUGACGCUGAGGCGCGAAAGCGUGGGGAGCAAACAGG